ACUAAUCUUCAGUAAGUAGAAAUAGCAAGGUCUUUUCUGCCUACCAACAGGGUUAUAAACCUUGAAACGUCAGUAUGCCAAGCCUUACUGGAUUUUGUUGUCAUGGUGGUUGAAUAUCCAGCUGAAGCGUACCUGACAAAUCCAUGUGGACAUUCACUGUAACAAUGACUUCCAAAGAGUUAGAUCCCCGGGCCCCCAGAGACAAGUCGACAGAAUGAGAAAUCGCCGUUUCCCAAAGACACGCAGCAGUGAGGAUUCUCGUUCAGAAGGCCCUGCAAAAUCAAAAAUGAAAAAAGAGACAUCGUGCCCCUCCCCUCGCCACCCUGUCUGUCCCCCUGGUUCUGCCAGAACUCCACCGGCUUGCCAAGAGCCACCCAGGAACAGAUUUCCUGUCUCAUCUGCUGCAU
Lutra lutra (Eurasian river otter) is the source of this 407-nucleotide long non-coding RNA. RefSeq lists it as uncharacterized. The transcript is spliced from 3 exons. The record is from RefSeq and is a predicted model, not a curated record. NCBI's taxonomy places the organism in Eukaryota, Metazoa, Chordata, Mammalia, Carnivora, Mustelidae.